Molecule: ribosomal RNA, 448 nt
Filed under: uncultured organism
Description: partial 16S ribosomal RNA
Rfam family: Bacterial small subunit ribosomal RNA
Source: RNAcentral
CACUCCUGCGGGAGGCAGCAGUGGGGAAUAUUGGACAAUGGGCGCAAGCCUGAUCCAGCCAUGCCGCGUGAGUGAUGAAGGCCCUAGGGUUGUAAAGCUCUUUCACCGGUGAAGAUAAUGACGGUAACCGGAGAAGAAGCCCCGGCUAACUUCGUGCCAGCAGCCGCGGUAAUACGAAGGGGGCUAGCGUUGUUCGGAUUUACUGGGCGUAAAGCGCACGUAGGCGGACUAUUAAGUCAGGGGUGAAAUCCCGGGGCUCAACCCCGGAACUGCCUUUGAUACUGGUAGUCUUGAGUUCGAGAGAGGUGAGUGGAAUUCCGAGUGUAGAGGGGAAAUUCGUAGAUAUUCGGAGGAACACCAGUGGCGAAGGCGGCUCACUGGCUCGAUACUGACGCUGAGGUGCGAAAGCGGGGGGAGCAAACAGGAUUAGAAACCCCGGUAGUCCCAU